GCCUUCGUGGUGUAGUGGUCAGCAUGCUGGGCUCUAAUACAGAGGUCCAUGGUUCGAGUCCCGGCGAAGGCG
RNAcentral lists this transfer RNA (72 nucleotides) under Stegodyphus mimosarum. It matches the Rfam family "tRNA". Rfam says of the family: Transfer RNA (tRNA) molecules are approximately 80 nucleotides in length. Their secondary structure includes four short double-helical elements and three loops (D, anti-codon, and T loops). The record is from Rfam by way of RNAcentral. Lineage: Eukaryota; Metazoa; Arthropoda; Arachnida; Araneae; Eresidae.